Molecule: unclassified non-coding RNA, 305 nt
Filed under: plant metagenome
Description: partial contains 5.8S ribosomal RNA, internal transcribed spacer 2, and large subunit ribosomal RNA
Rfam family: 5.8S ribosomal RNA (bases 1-107)
Source: RNAcentral
GCGAAAUGCGAUAAGUAAUGUGAAUUGCAGAAUUCAGUGAAUCAUCGAAUCUUUGAACGCACAUUGCGCCCGCCAGUAUUCUGGCGGGCAUGCCUGUUCGAGCGUCAUUUCAACCAUCAAGCCCCCGGCUUGUGUUGGGGACCUGCGGCUGCCCGCAGGCCCUGAAAAACAGUGGCGGGCUCGCUGUCACACCGAGCGUAGUAGCAUACAUUCUCGCUCAGGGCGUGCUGCGGGUUCCGGCCGUUAAACGACCUUCAUAACCCAAGGUUGACCUCGGAUCAGGUAGGAAGACCCUCUGAACUUAA